Molecule: ribosomal RNA, 850 nt
Filed under: uncultured bacterium
Lineage: Bacteria
Description: bacterial SSU rRNA
Rfam family: Bacterial small subunit ribosomal RNA
Source: RNAcentral
GGAUGAACGCUGGCGGCGUGGAUAAGGCAUGCAAGUCAAACGGACUGUAUAGCAAUAUAUAGUCAGUGGCAGACGAGGUAGUAAUAAGUAAGUAACGUACCCCAAAGUCAGGAAUAACUAGUCGAAAGAUUAGCUAAUACUUGAUGGCCUCUUUGAUUUAUUUCAUUGAGUAAAGAUUUAUCGCUUUGGGAACGGCUUGCUGAGUAUCAGCUAGUUGGUAGGGUAACGGCCUACCAAGGCUAUGACGCUUAGGGGACCUGAGAGGGUGACCCCCACCGAUGGAACUGAGAAACGGUCCAUACACCUACGGGUGGCCGCAGUCGAGAAUCUUCCGCAAUGGACGAAAGUCUGACGGAGCGACGCCGCGUGCAGGAUGAAGUGCUUCGGUAUGUAAACUGCUUUAGCCGGGGAGAAAGUUUAUUGAUAGUACCCGGAGAAUAAGAGGUUGCUAAACUCGUGCCAGCAGCAGCGGUAAUACGAGUGCCUCAAGCGUUAUCCGGAAUUAUUGGGCGUAAAGGUUGUGUAGGUGGUCGCAUUAGUCUCUUGUUAAAUUCUUCGGCUUAACCGGGGGCAUGCAAGGGAAACGGUGCGACUAGAGGAUGCGAGGGGUCUGCGGAACUCAUAGUGUAGCGGUGAAAUGCGUUGAUAUUAUGGGGAACACCAAAAGCGAAGGCAGCAGACUGGAGCACUCCUGACACUGAAACAAGAAAGCGUGGGUAGCGAAUGGGAUUAGAUACCCCAGUAGUCAACGCCCUAAACGAUGAUCUCUAGGUUUGAGGAGUAUCGACCCUCUUCGAGCCGUAGCUAACGCGUUAAGAGAUCCGCCUGGGUAGUACGACCGCAAGGUUAA